This 492-nucleotide unclassified non-coding RNA is filed under the name Hevea brasiliensis (rubber tree). The record is from RNAcentral. Lineage: Eukaryota; Viridiplantae; Streptophyta; Magnoliopsida; Malpighiales; Euphorbiaceae.
AGAAGUGAAGAAAUGAAAUAUUUCUUUCCUGUUUGUCUUUAAUUUGAUAUAAAGAUCUUGCUUAAAUUUAAAUGGCAACAUAUAGAGUUGCUGUGUAGUCUUCUCGUUAGUUAACGUCCUGUUUUAAUUUUCGUAAUAUAAUAGCAAGCUCUCCUGAGAGAAGACACGGUAACUUGAAGUUUGGAGAGUUUCCCGUUUGUUUGUUUCUUUUAUAUGGACUUCAUGCAGAGUGACCUCAACUUUUACCUCAAGAAGGCAAUGCGUCCCACAGCAAACCAGGGGGACGAUAAUCACAUGCAGAUUCCUCUGUCAUCUGCCUUUCCGUCUGUUUUGCCUCCUGGGAGAAAGAACUUGGGACCUUUCAAUACUGUUGAGUUUCAACCUUCUGAAGUUUGUCCCCAAAAUUUCAUCAUCUUUGACCACACUGACAAUCGAAGCCAAAUCAUGUUUCAUCCUGCAAUUGCCAACAAACUCAGUGGUCCUACUGCGAAU